CGGGAACUGACAUGAAUUGACCUCUGGCAGUUAAGGAGCAACAUUAUUCAUUUGGAGUCGUGUUUCUGGCCUCCCUGGAGAAUCUGUACAGCGGGUGAGGGUCAGCCACCUCCAACCCCUCCCCACUGCCUCCAUUCCUACUGCCCAGCUGUUUGUGUCCUGCUUCCCAAUGCUCCAAGGCAGGCUGACCAGAAAAGUGAAUCGUGGAUGGAGAGAUUCUGCUUUGGAAUAACCUAAGGAGGAGAGGAAUGAUGGAGGGAUAAUACUGUGGAGGAAGAGAAAAAAAACAAAGGUACACAAUACACACAAUACGCACCCAUUGGACCAAUGGGUGUGUGUUGUGUGGAGCAGGCAUGACACUUGAUGCU
Molecule: long non-coding RNA, 368 nt
Organism: Perca fluviatilis (European perch)
Lineage: Eukaryota; Metazoa; Chordata; Actinopteri; Perciformes; Percidae
Exons: 3
Source: RefSeq, a predicted model, not a curated record